Molecule: transfer RNA, 68 nt
Filed under: Marmota monax (woodchuck)
Lineage: Eukaryota; Metazoa; Chordata; Mammalia; Rodentia; Sciuridae
Description: tRNA.Thr
Source: RNAcentral
GUUGUGGCUCAGUGGUAGAACACUUGCCUGGUACAUGCGGGGCACUGAGUUCAAUCCUCAGCACCACG